Molecule: ribosomal RNA, 740 nt
Filed under: Dothidea sambuci
Lineage: Eukaryota; Fungi; Ascomycota; Dothideomycetes; Dothideales; Dothideaceae
Description: SSU rRNA
Rfam family: Bacterial small subunit ribosomal RNA
Source: RNAcentral
UAACGGCUGAACCAGCAACUUGGGGGAAUGUAGCCAUAUGUAGAAAUACAUAUGUGUGUCGACUAUGUCGUAUAAAGUUCUAGAUAGAUUACUGAUAAUGACAAUUAUCUAUCUAUAUGUCUUGACCAAAUCUCGUGCCAGCAGUCGCGGCAAUACGAGGAAGACUAGUGUUAUUCAUCUUUAUUAGGUUUAAAGGGUACCUAGACGGUAUAUCAAGCCCCCUAAAGGGAACUGAUAUACUAGAGUUUUAUGUGAGAGGUAUAUAUUAGUACUAUUGGUGUAGAGAUGAAAUUCUUUGAUACUAAUAGGACGGAUAACAGCAAAAGCAAACCUUUAUGUAUAAACUGACGUUGAGGGACGAAGGCUUGGGUAGCGAAUAGGAUUAGAUACCCUAGUAGUCCAGGCAGAGAAUUAUGAAUGUUAUAGACUGGCCUCUUAGCUUGUGUAUAAAUGAAAGUGUAAGCAUUCCACCUCAAGAGUAAUGCGGCAACGCAGGAACUGAAAUCAUUAGACCGUUUCUGAAACCAGUAGUGAAGUAUGUUAUUUAAUUCGAUAGCCCUCGAAAAACCUUACCACAAUUUGAAUAUUAUUUAUUUAAAUAAUACAAGUGUUGCACGGCUGUCUUCAGUUAAUGUCGUGAGAUUCUGGUUAGAUCCAUUAAAUUAACGUAAACCCUUGCUUUAUUUGUUUUUAUAAAGUAGUUCACCGAUAUAUUGGAUGUGAUAAUAGGGACUAAGUCA